CCUACGGGAGGCAGCAGUGAGGAAUAUUGGUCAAUGGGCGGAAGCCUGAACCAGCCAAGUCGCGUGAGGGAUUAAGGCCCUGCGGGUCGUAAACCUCUUUUGCCGGGGAGCAGUGGUCCGGACGUGUCCGGGCCGGGAGAGUACCCGGAGAAAAAGCAUCGUCUAACUCCGUGCCAGCAGCCGCGGUAAUACGGAGGAUGCGAGCGGUAUCCGGAUUUAUUGGGUUUAAAGGGUGCGUAGGCGGGCAUUUAAGCCGGCGGUCAAAUGUCGGGGCUCAACCCCGGCCUGCCGUCGGAACUGGGUGCCUUGAGUGGGCGAGAAGUAUGCGGAAUGCGUGGUGUAGCGGUGAAAUGCAUAGAUAUCACGCAGAACCCCGAUUGCGAAGGCAGCAUACCGGAGCCCUACUGACGCUGAGGCACGAAAGUGCGGGUAUCGAACAGGAUUAGAUACCCGGGUAGUC
Molecule: ribosomal RNA, 460 nt
Filed under: uncultured bacterium
Lineage: Bacteria
Description: partial 16S ribosomal RNA
Rfam family: Bacterial small subunit ribosomal RNA
Source: RNAcentral